CCCCACUGGGACUUCACUUUGAAAAGAAAACGAAGAGCAAAAGAUGAUGAUGUCGUAAGCCUUAGCAGCCUUGAUCUGAAGAGGCUACCUCAUGAUGGCUCCUGUGUCCUUCUCCCUCCACCGCCUCCCCCAGCUUUAUUAAGAUAUUAG
This is a long non-coding RNA of Myotis brandtii (Brandt's bat), 150 nucleotides long. RefSeq lists it as uncharacterized. The record is from RefSeq and is a predicted model, not a curated record. NCBI's taxonomy places the organism in Eukaryota, Metazoa, Chordata, Mammalia, Chiroptera, Vespertilionidae. The transcript is spliced from 3 exons.